GUAGGUGAACCUGCGGAAGGAUCAUUAUUGAAUACACUUGAUGGGUUGUAGCUGGCUCUUUGGAGCAUGUGCACGCCUGUCUUGAUAUUAUUCAUCCACCUGUGCACCUUUUGUAGUCUUGGGGGCUGAGAGUAGCCAACUGUCGGGAGGGCCACAUGGCCUUACCGGAUGUGAGGAUUGCUGUGCGAAAGCAUGGCUCUCCUCAAAUGGCCGCAAACUCCCUCAAGUUCUAUGUUUUAUUCAUACACCACAUAGUAUGUUUCAGAAUGUAAUCAAUGGGCCUAUGUGCCUAUAAAACUUUAUACAACUUUCAGCAACGGAUCUCUUGGCUCUC
RNAcentral lists this unclassified non-coding RNA (334 nucleotides) under rhizosphere metagenome. Its description in RNAcentral is "partial ribosomal RNA internal transcribed spacer region". The record is from RNAcentral.